GAAAGCGAAAGCAGCUAACUACAAUAAACUUGACGGUAAGAGACGAAAGCUUGGGGAGCGAACGGGAUUAGAUACCCCGGUAGUCCAAGCCGUAAAUUAUGCAUGCUAGAUGUUUUGGACCCUCGUGGUCUGGAGUGUCGUAAUCUAACGAGUUAAGCAUGCCGCCUGGGUAGUAUAUUCGCAAGAAUGAAACUCAAAGGGAUAGGCGGGGGAACACACAAGCAGUGGAUUGUCUAGAUUAAUUGGAUAAUAAGCCAAGAAUCUUACCUAGAUUUGACAUAUAUUAUGUCCUAUGUGAAAGCAUAGUAGUCCGAGCAAUCGGACAUGAUAUACAGGUGGUGCAUGGUCGUCGUCAGCUCGUGCCGCAAGGUGUCUAGUUAAGUCUGGAAACGAGCGCAACCCUCAUCUUUAGUUAGAAUGUCUAAAGAGACUGCUCCGGUAACGGAGAGGAAGGAGAGGAUGACGUCAGAUCCUCAUGCCCCUUACAUCUAGGGCUUCAUAGACAAUACAAUGGGUAAUACAACGAGAAGCCAAGCCGCGAGGUGGAGCAAACCUCUAAAAUUACCCCUAGUUCGGAUUGUAGUCUGGAACUCGACUACAUGAAGUUGGAAUUGCUAGUAAUGGCGGGUCAGCUACACCGCCGUGAAUACGUCCCUGUUCCUUGCACUCACCGCCCGUCAAACCAUGGGAGCUGAGAGCCUCUGAAGGUGUGUCUUGCAUGCUGAGGAGGAAAUUAGUGACUGGGGUUAAGUCGUAACAAGGUA
Molecule: ribosomal RNA, 764 nt
Filed under: uncultured bacterium
Lineage: Bacteria
Description: bacterial SSU rRNA
Rfam family: Bacterial small subunit ribosomal RNA
Source: RNAcentral